GCCGCCUCCACUCCCCCACCCCCAGAGAACCCUAAUCCACACCCUCUCAAGCCAGCCAUGGCGGAGCGCGGCGGCGAGCGUGGCGGCGAGCGCGGCGGGUUCGGCCGCGGCUUCGGGCGCGGCGGUCGCGGCGACCGCGGAGGGCGCCGUGGCGGGCGCCGCGGCCCGCGCCAGGAGGAGGAGAAGUGGGUGCCCGUCACCAAGCUCGGCCGCCUCGUGAAGGAAGGCAGGUUCUCCAAGAUCGAGGAGAUCUACCUCCACUCCCUCCCCGUCAAGGAGCACCAGAUCGUGGAGACCCUCGUGCCGGGGCUCAAGGACGAGGUGAUGAAGAUCAUGCCGGUCCAGAAGCAGACCCGCGCCGGUCAGCGCACCAGGUUCAAGGCCUUUGUUGUCGUCGGCGACAACAACGGUCAUGUCGGGCUUGGGGUCAAGUGCUCUAAAGAGGUGGCUACUGCGAUCCGUGGAGCUAUUAUUCUUGCGAAGCUGUCGGUUGUUCCGGUGCGUAGGGGAUAUUGGGGGAAUAAGAUUGGGAAGCCCCAUA
This 541-nucleotide unclassified non-coding RNA is filed under the name Hevea brasiliensis (rubber tree). Lineage: Eukaryota; Viridiplantae; Streptophyta; Magnoliopsida; Malpighiales; Euphorbiaceae. The record is from RNAcentral.